Neopsephotus bourkii (Bourke's parrot) is the source of this 651-nucleotide long non-coding RNA. RefSeq lists it as uncharacterized. The transcript has 3 exons. The record is from RefSeq and is a predicted model, not a curated record. NCBI's taxonomy places the organism in Eukaryota, Metazoa, Chordata, Aves, Psittaciformes, Psittacidae.
UCCCAAACCAAUCCGAGCAAUCCGAUCCCUGAAGGAAGGAGAGGCACAGGCAGGUGAGGGGCAGAUGGCUGUGUAGGGACUGGGAGCAGUGACUGGUGUGUGAGCUUGCUCAUGCUUUGGUGGCAUUUGCCCCAUGGAAGCCAGAUGUUUCCCUGUGGGACACAGCUGCCAGAUAUGCUGUUGGAUGUGAUGCAGUGAGAUGUGACAGGCUGGUGGUGGAAGAACCUGUCUGGAUCUGAUGGAAGAGCUCCUGGUGGGGCAGGACAUGGGGUGCAUAGCCCAGGACCACCACAUCAGAGGCUCUCAUGCUUGAGUGAGGUCCAGGCUGCGAGUCCACAGCCUUACAGCUAGGCACAUCACCCAGGAAGCAGGAGCAAGACCCCAAACUUUGUUCAGACUUCCUCCACACACAAAAGAAAGCCCUGACUGGACUUGGGAGCAUGGAGGGAGAGCCAGGCUGUCAGAGUCACGCGUUUGCCUGUGGGAUACCAGGAGAGAAGGGACUGAUCCUGACCCAGCUCAUGGCAGGAUCUGCUCCAGGAGUUUUCCUGCCUGGCACUUGGUCUCCAGCUCCGCUGUGUACAGCAGGUUCAGCAGCAGGUCCAGGCCCCCCUCCAGGCGGAUCACAUCACACAGCACUUUGGCCACAUC